This 418-nucleotide long non-coding RNA is filed under the name Homo sapiens (human). RNAcentral describes it as "HSALNT0058258". The record is from RNAcentral. Lineage: Eukaryota; Metazoa; Chordata; Mammalia; Primates; Hominidae.
CGACCAUGACCUCAAAAAGUGAAGAGAUGGAUAUAUUGGGAGAAUUUUGAUAAUGACGACCAUGUGAGAGCAUUCUGGCUACACCUGUAUCUUCCCAAAGAUUUUUCAGAUGGUGUGGAAUGUGAAGGGUCCUGGAGGUCUGCCAGAGUGGAUCUCCAUCCUGCAGGGGCUGAGGCACCCAGCUGCUACCAGUACUACCACCAUGCAGACAACCUGGAAGGCAUUCAGAGGAGUGAGCAAAAUGGUGAAGAGGCUUGAGGAACAGCAGAGUAAUGCAGUGAUGUUUCAGUUGAAGAACAGAUGUCUCAGAAGAAAUUCAAUUUCGUUCAUGUAUAAGAAAUAUUUUUCUAAAAAAUAAUUAUGCUUACUUCUUUGUACCCUAAAUAGAAAAGCUAAGCCAAUAAAUGAAAGAUAAAGA